This 1499-nucleotide long non-coding RNA is filed under the name Ficedula albicollis (Collared flycatcher). Its description in RNAcentral is "lncRNA (ENSFALG00000026991.1)". The record is from RNAcentral. Lineage: Eukaryota; Metazoa; Chordata; Aves; Passeriformes; Muscicapidae.
UGACCACAGCUUUUAAGUGGCUGAUUGAACAGAACUCGGAUUCUGAUACUUUUAUUGCAAUAUUGGGAACUAUGUCUGGAAGGGUCUUGACAGAUCAGAUAGAACAUCUGUUCUUCCAGAACGUAAUCCACUGCAGAUAACUCGCUCCUCACCAGACAACUUGCCAGAAACUCCUGCUCUCUCUUUCCUGAUGUGUCCAGCAACAGAGAUUUCUCAGUCUUGUUAGUAGUGAAACACAGAGAUCCUUGGGGAGGUCACACUAAGUGUGAAAGAGAUGUGGAACACAAAAGCUUCUGGGGGCUGCAGCAAGAGGUAAGUAGUUUGUUUUGCUCCUUCCUUCUGUUCUACUUUCCCUGAUUUUCUUCUCUUCCUAAUUUAGUUACUAUUUUCUUCUUUGCUCUCUAUCUCCAUCAUUUGUCACUUGGCCUCCUUUGAGUGCCCCAGUUAAAAUCUUAACUUGACUUUUGGAUUGAAAAAAACAUAUUCUUUCUGAGACCAUGUAAUUUGGCUUAAUUGUUUUUGAUGUAUGACAAAAUUGAAUUGAAAUGUUGACCCUAUGUAGUAAUAGUUUUAAGUUGUCUUCCCACUGGCUUCUGAGUACAUAAAUCAUAGAAGUUUUUUGUUUUCUCCUCUUCUUCCUUCAAAAAUUACUAACAUUUAAAUCAAAGCAAUAGUUUCUGUGCCUUUAUCUUUGAUCAGCUCUUUUGUUCAUGCUUUUUACUUCCUUUUUCUUCCAUUUUGUAAUUGGCACUUCUCAUGACAGGGGUUUUUUGAUUUCUAGUUGCAAUUCCCACUUCCUAUAAGACAUUUUGAUUCUAAUAUGGAGUCAUCUUUCUUAAAGAGGCAUCAUUUAAAUCUUCUGUAAGCUCUUGCAAUUACAACAGAGAGGAAAAUAUUUUGAGUAUAUUCCAGUAUUCAGCAUGUACAUAACUUUGGGCUCCAUCUAAGAGAUGUUUGGAGCAGUGUAGAUACUCCGAAAUACAGUGUAAUACAACCAUUAAAUCGCUUCUUUCUCCUUUUUAACUUUCGGUUGGUUUGGUUGGUUUGUUGGUUUGUUUGCUUUUAAAAGAAAUAAAGAAAAUUCUGCAAUUCAUUUGUAGUAUAUAUGUGGUACAGUUUCUUUUCCAGUAUAGUAAUUUCCACCGUUCAUUAAUGCUGUCAGAAUGUGCAUUCAGUUUGCUUUCUGGUAGGCAAGGUGAGGGAAGAGCAGGUGAGACUAAAACAUCAUGCUAGAGGUAGCACUUUGGCUGCUACAGAAGGCAGCAAGAUCUGUUUAAAUCAGAACUGAAUUACAACCCAGUUUUUAUUCAAUGGUUUUAUAUAAACCUAAAGUACAGACAUAGCAUUGCACAACUUUCAUAAAUCAAGUAGUUGAAAGCAUUCCUUCUUUCAGUUUCAAAAACAUACACCCAAACCCCAGAAAUUAAACUGGUUGCAGAUAUAUUCCAGUUAAUCUUCUGAUUUUAGUUCCACUUCCUGUACAGCUUCCCAAAUUUUCU